UACAGAGGGUGCGAGCGUUAAUCGGAAUUACUGGGCGUAAAGUGUGCGCAGGCGGCCGCGCAAGUCGAGUGUGAAAGCCCCGAGCUUAACUUGGGAAUUGCGCUCGAAACUACGUGGCUGGAGUGUGGCAGAGGAAGGUGGAAUUCCAGGUGUAGCGGUGAAAUGCGUAGAGAUCUGGAGGAACACCGAUGGCGAAGGCAGCCUUCUGGGCCAACACUGACGCUCAUGCACGAAAGCGUGGGGAGCAAACAGG
RNAcentral lists this ribosomal RNA (253 nucleotides) under uncultured bacterium. Its description in RNAcentral is "partial 16S ribosomal RNA". It matches the Rfam family "Bacterial small subunit ribosomal RNA", at positions 524 to 776 of the family's 1533-position model. The record is from RNAcentral.